RNAcentral lists this ribosomal RNA (544 nucleotides) under uncultured bacterium. RNAcentral describes it as "bacterial SSU rRNA". It matches the Rfam family "Bacterial small subunit ribosomal RNA", at positions 775 to 1331 of the family's 1533-position model. The record is from RNAcentral.
AGAAAAUAGAUACCCAGGUAGUCCACGCCGUAAACGAUGGAUGCUAGCUGUAUUCGGUAUCGACCCCGGAUGUAGCGAAAGCUAACGCGUUAAGCAUCCCGCCUGUGGAGUACGGUCGCAAGACUAAAACAUAAAGGAAUUGACGGGGACCCGCACAAGCGGUGGAGCGUGUUGUUUAAUUCGAUGGUAAGCGAAGAACCUUACCCAGGUUUGACAUCCUUGGAAUUUCUGCGAAAGCAGAGAGUGCUUUUAGAGCCAAGUGACAGGUGUUGCAUGGCCGUCGUCAGCUCGUGUCGUGAGAUGUUUGGUUAAGUCCAUCAACGAGCGCAACCCUUGUGAUUAGUUGAAUUUUUCUAAUCAGACUGCCCUGGUAACAGGGAGGAAGGGGGGAUGAUGUCAGGUCAGUAUUACCCUUACACCUGGGGCCACAAACACGCUACAAUGGCCGGUACAAAGGGCAGCCAAGUCGUGAGACGGAGCAAAUCCCAUCAAAGCCGGUCCCAGUUCGGAUAGCAGGCUGAAACUCGCCUGCUUGAAGUCGGAA